GAGUUUGAUCAUGGCUCAGGAUGAACGCUGGCGGCGUGCCUAACACAUGCAAGUCGAGCGGGAAAUUUCGGAAUGAAACUUCGGUAGAAUGAAGAAAUGGAGAGCGGCGGACGGGUGAGUAACGCGUAGGCAAUCUGCCCCGUACAGAGGGAUAGCCUCGGGAAACCGGGAUUAAAACCUCAUAACGCAUUCAGCCCGCAUGGGAAGGAUGCCAAAGAUUUAUCGGUAUGGGAUGGGCCUGCGUCUGAUUAGUUAGUUGGUGAGGUAACGGCUCACCAAGGCGACGAUCAGUAGCCGACCUGAGAGGGUAAUCGGCCACAUUGGAACUGAGACACGGUCCAAACUCCUACGGGAGGCAGCAGUGGGGAAUAUUGCACAAUGGGCGAAAGCCUGAUGCAGCAACGCCGCGUGAGCGAAGAAGGCCUUUGGGUCGUAAAGCUCUGUCCUAUGGGAAGAAGA
Molecule: ribosomal RNA, 459 nt
Filed under: Peptostreptococcaceae bacterium canine oral taxon 124
Lineage: Bacteria; Bacillati; Bacillota; Clostridia; Peptostreptococcales; Peptostreptococcaceae
Description: bacterial SSU rRNA
Rfam family: Bacterial small subunit ribosomal RNA
Source: RNAcentral